UCUUGCCUAGUAUAUCGGUUCAGUACACCCGCUUGUCAUUAAAUUGCCUAAUCGACACAUCUUGAUUACGCGGGAGAGCAGGGUUCGACUCCCUGGGCGAGAG
Molecule: non-coding RNA, 103 nt
Organism: Mycena epipterygia
Lineage: Eukaryota; Fungi; Basidiomycota; Agaricomycetes; Agaricales; Mycenaceae
Source: the annotation of a GenBank genome assembly